Molecule: ribosomal RNA, 1093 nt
Filed under: uncultured organism
Description: bacterial SSU rRNA
Rfam family: Bacterial small subunit ribosomal RNA
Source: RNAcentral
UCAGUGGCAGACGAGUGAGUAACAUGUAGGUAACCUGCCCUCGAGACGGGGAUAACGGCUGGAAACGGUCGCUAAGACCCGAUAUAGUCUGACCUUCGGGAGAAGGUGAGAGGAAAGGCUUCGGUGCUCGGGGAGGGGCCUGCGGCCCAUCAGCUAGUUGGAGAGGUAACGGCUCCCCAAGGCAAUGACGGGUAGGGGGUGUGAGAGCAUGGCCCCCCACACUGGGACUGAGACACGGCCCAGACUCCUACGGGAGGCAGCAGCAGGGAAUAUUGCGCAAUGGACGGAAGUCUGACGCAGCGACGCCGCGUGGAUGAUGAAGGCCUUCGGGUUGUAAAAUCCUUUUCCGGGCGAUGAGACAGGACACUAGCCUGGGAAUAAGCGUCGGCUAACUACGUGCCAGCAGCCGCAGUAAGACGUAGGACGCCGAGCGUUAUCCGGAUUUACUGGGCGUAAAGCGCCUGCAGACGGUCAAGGUAAAUCGGUUGUGAAAAGCCCCGUGCUCAACGCCGGGGAGGCCAAGCGAUACUGCGUGACUUGAGGGCGGAAGAGGGGAGUGGAAUUCCCGGUGUAGCGGUAAAAUUGCGCAGAUAUCGGGAGGAACACCAGUGGCCGAAGGCGGCUCCCUGGACCGCACCUGACGCUCAGAGGCGAAAGCUAGGGGAGCGAACAGGAUUAGAGACCCUGGUAGUCCUAGCCCUAAACGCUGGAUGCUAGGUGUAGGGCUGAUGAGGCUCUGUGCCGGAGCGAACGCGAUAAGCAUCCCGCCUGGGAACUACGGCCGCAAGGCUAAAACUCAAACGAAUUGACGGGGACCCGCACAAGCAGCGGAGCGUGUGGUUUAAUUCGAUGCUACACGAAGAACCUUACCUGGGUUUGACAUGCUGGUGGUACCGAACCGAAAGGGGAGGGACCCUUCGGGGAGCCAACACAGGUGCUGCAUGGCUGUCGUCAGCUCGUGCCGUGAGGUGUCGGGUUAAGUCCCGUAACGAGCGCAACCCUUGCUUUUAGUUAUAAGUGUCUAAGGGGACUGCCGGCGACAAGCCGGAGGAAGGUGGGGAUGACGUCAAGUCAGCAUGGCCUUGAUAUCCAG